AACGAACGCUGGCGGCAUGCCUAACACAUGCAAGUCGAACGAAGUCUUCGGACUUAGUGGCGCACGGGUGCGUAACGCGUGGGAAUCUGCCCUUGGGUGCGGAAUAACUUCUCGAAAGGGAUGCUAAUACCGCAUAAUGUCGUAAGACCAAAGAUUUAUCGCCCAAGGAUGAGCCCGCGUAAGAUUAGCUAGUUGGUGGGGUAAAAGCCUACCAAGGCGACGAUCUUUAGCUGGUCUGAGAGGAUGAUCAGCCACACUGGGACUGAGACACGGCCCAGACUCCUACGGGAGGCAGCAGUGGGGAAUAUUGGACAAUGGGCGAAAGCCUGAUCCAGCAAUGCCGCGUGAGUGAUGAAGGCCCUAGGUUGUAAAGCUCUUUACCAGGGAUGAUAAUGACAGUACCUGGAGAAUAAGCUCCGCUAACUCCGUGCCAGCAGCCGCGGUAA
Molecule: ribosomal RNA, 446 nt
Filed under: uncultured bacterium
Lineage: Bacteria
Description: bacterial SSU rRNA
Rfam family: Bacterial small subunit ribosomal RNA
Source: RNAcentral